RNAcentral lists this ribosomal RNA (280 nucleotides) under uncultured bacterium. RNAcentral describes it as "partial 16S ribosomal RNA". It matches the Rfam family "Bacterial small subunit ribosomal RNA", at positions 28 to 307 of the family's 1533-position model. The record is from RNAcentral.
GACGAACGCUGGCGGCGUGCUUAACACAUGCAAGUCGAGCGGUAAGGCCCUUUCGGGGGUACGACGAGCGGCGAACGGGUGAGUAACACGUGGGUGACCUGCCCUCAGCUCUGGGAUAAGCCUGGGAAACCGGGUCUAAUACUGGAUAUGACUCCAUGACGCAUGUUGUGGGGUGGAAAGCCUUGUGCGGCUGAGGAGUGGGCCCGCGGCCUAUCAGCUUGUUGGUGGGGUGAUGGCCUACCAAGGCGACGACGGGUAGCCGGCCUGAGAGGGCGACCGG